CAGCAGCCGCGGUAAUACGAAGGGUGCAAGCGUUAAUCGGAAUUACUGGGCGUAAAGCGUGCGUAGGCGGUUUGUUAAGUCUGCUGUGAAAUCCCCGGGCUCAACCUGGGAAUGGCAGUGGAUACUGGCAAGCUAGAGUGUGUCAGAGGAUGGUGGAAUUCCCGGUGUAGCGGUGAAAUGCGUAGAGAUCGGGAGGAACAUCAGUGGCGAAGGCGGCCAUCUGGGACAACACUGACGCUGAGGCACGAAAGCGUGGGGAGCAAACAGGAUUAGAUACCCGAGUAGUCCCUGUCUCUUAUAA
RNAcentral lists this ribosomal RNA (301 nucleotides) under uncultured bacterium. Its description in RNAcentral is "partial 16S ribosomal RNA". It matches the Rfam family "Bacterial small subunit ribosomal RNA", at positions 509 to 809 of the family's 1533-position model. The record is from RNAcentral.